RNAcentral lists this ribosomal RNA (245 nucleotides) under uncultured Methanosphaera sp. RNAcentral's name for it is "partial 16S ribosomal RNA". It matches the Rfam family "Archaeal small subunit ribosomal RNA", at positions 474 to 718 of the family's 1478-position model. The record is from RNAcentral. Lineage: Archaea; Methanobacteriati; Methanobacteriota; Methanobacteria; Methanobacteriales; Methanobacteriaceae.
CACCGGCAGCUCAAGUGGUCGCUGUUUUUAUUGGGCCUAAAGCGUUCGUAGCCGGUUUGAUAAGUCUUUGGUGAAAGCUUAUGGCUUAACUGUAAGAAUUGCUGAAGAUACUGUCAGACUUGAAGUCGGGAGAGGUUAGAGGUACUACCGGGGUAGGGGUGAAAUCCUAUAAUCCUGGGAGGACCACCUGUGGCGAAGGCGUCUAACUGGAACGAUCUUGACGGUGAGUAACGAAAGCCAGGGGC